AACGAACGCUGGCGGCAGGCUUAACACAUGCAAGUCGAACGCCCCGCAAGGGGCGUGGCAGACGGGUGAGUACCGCGUGGGAACAUACCCUUUUCUACGGAAUAGCUCUGGGAAACUGGAAUUAAUACCGUAUACGCCCUACGGGGGAAAGAUUUAUCGGGGAAGGAUUGGCCCGCGUUGGAUUAGCUAGUUGGUGGGGUAAAGGCCUACCAAGGCGACGAUCCAUAGCUGGUCUGAGAGGAUGAUCAGCCACAUUGGGACUGAGACACGGCCCAAACUCCUACGGGAGGCAGCAGUGGGGAAUAUUGGACAAUGGGCGCAAGCCUGAUCCAGCCAUGCCGCGUGAGUGAUGAAGGCCUUAGGGUUGUAAAGCUCUUUCACCGAUGAAGAUAAUGACGGUAGUCGGAGAAGAAGCCCCGGCUAACUUCGUG
This 431-nucleotide ribosomal RNA is filed under the name uncultured bacterium. RNAcentral's name for it is "partial 16S ribosomal RNA". It matches the Rfam family "Bacterial small subunit ribosomal RNA", at positions 29 to 507 of the family's 1533-position model. The record is from RNAcentral.